RNAcentral lists this long non-coding RNA (1237 nucleotides) under Sinocyclocheilus grahami. Its description in RNAcentral is "lncRNA (ENSSGRG00000036404.1)". The record is from RNAcentral. Lineage: Eukaryota; Metazoa; Chordata; Actinopteri; Cypriniformes; Cyprinidae.
GAGACCACAUUGUUUUCUCAUGGAGCAGCGCCGGGGGCCAGAACAGGUCGGGCAGCAUUCCCUGUCCCGUGACUUCUGAUGUGUACAGCCAGCCAGAUGCGUCAACACCCCAGAAUCAGAUGUGUGGGGUGCAACCAGAUGGACUCUCACUAGACUGCGACUGCCACACGUCAAUGACUCGAAUCUGAAGGGGAAUCACCAGGGCAGGAACAGAAGAGAAAAAAGGGGUGGGACGGGCGAGGGCGUGUUGGAUCAGUGUUCACAAAAGCACCAGCAAAACCCGUGACACAUAUUGUGGCCUCUUGCUCUUCACCUCCACACGAGGCCGGCAGGACCCUGGUGGGCCCCUCGCUCUUGUUCCACUCCCACAGUACCCCAAGGGCCGGGGAAAGGCUUCAUCCCUGUACGUAGAAGCCACGUCGAUGGUUGUAUUCAAGCAAAAUCUUUACUCUGUAAACACCCGGUUGUCUUAGGUGUGGCAGGACGUGCUCUGGUUCAUUUAGUUUCAUCUGGCCCCAUGGAGGGACUCAAAGAGCCGAAAUUUGCCCUGAGGGGCCUGAAUGAAAGGCUGAAGGGGUUCCUGGAGCACGUGAAUCAGUUGGAAUGGACCAAUCGUGAACUGGAGGAGCAGAUUGCAGAGUGGAGAUUGAGGAACGUUGUUCCAUGUUGGGACUGGAGCAACAAGGAGGCGCUGACACAGGAACUGCGAGCUCAGGUUAGGAUAAUCAUAAUGGAAAAUGCAGAAGUUUUGUUACAAUCCGAUGCAGUGAAACUCAGGGCAGCACAUUUAAAGACCAGGUGUGAAACCGAGAAGAAACUCCGUCUCCUAAAGGAGCAGGAGGUGUCACAGAUGAAGAUAAAGAAAAUAGACGUGGAAACAUCCAACACUCUCCUGGAAAAACAGCUUUAUGAAUACCAAAAUGAGUUACAGCUAAUCGUGGAGGAACAUGAGAGAGAGCUGGAUCAGCACCAGCGGCGAGCAGUAGAGGAGUGUGAUAGAGUACUAGUGCAGGUUGCUGCAGGAGAGGAUGGCAGAGGAAUGGAUCUCUCCCGGACCAGCACCCAGUGCGACCACUCCAGCCCAGCCCAGAGCAGCCCUGACUCAGCCACACCACCAAAUCCAGCCCCAGGCUCUGGUCCCGUUUCACAGAGAAGGCCCCAAAAGGAUGCAACCAGCCCCACAGCUGCAUUUCUGUCACAGGUACGAGUAUUCGCUCUCUGUCUCUCCUUCAAACAC